UACGUAGGGUGCAAUCGUUGUUCGGAAUUAUUGGGCGUAAAGCGGGUGUAGGUGGUUUGUUACGUCAGCUGUGAAAUCGCUAGGCUCAACCAAGGAAGUGCAUCGGAAACUGGCAGGCUAGAGUACGGCAGAGGGGGUUGGAAUUCCUGGUGUAGCGGUGAAAUGCGUAGAUAUCAGGAGGAAUACCAAUGGCGAAGGCGGCCUCCUGGACCGUUCCUGACGCUGAGGUGCGAAAGCGUGGGGAGCAAACAGG
This 253-nucleotide ribosomal RNA is filed under the name uncultured bacterium. RNAcentral's name for it is "partial 16S ribosomal RNA". It matches the Rfam family "Bacterial small subunit ribosomal RNA", at positions 524 to 776 of the family's 1533-position model. The record is from RNAcentral.